UUUAUAAACUGCAUCUUUAAUAUCUUUUUAGUGUGUGGAACUGUGCUGUCAUCAUAUAGCAUGUAGGAAUUGCUCACGACUUCCCAGGGAGUGCUUUCUUUGCUCACAGAAAGACGACUUGAGCAACAGAAAAGAAGUCUUUGUUAAGAAUCAGGAUAUCAUCCGGGGCGAUUUUGUAAAGGACACAGAAAUAGAUACAACAUGUCAAAAUUGCCAAGUAAAUAAGGGUGAAGUUCAACUUUGCUUAUGUGGCCAUGUCAUUUGCCAGCCCUGCUUCAGAAUGUCUAUCCAAAAGGAGAACAACAUAGAAUGUCCAUUGUAUCAUAUGUGCCAUGCACAUUAUCCAUUAAAUGAGCUGACACAUUUCCAAAGUAAGGGACCUCCUGUGCCAAUAUUCGGUAUGCCUUCAGUUGGACUAACGUGUUAUGCCAGUUGUAUUCUUCAGGUUCUCUGUCACACUGAACUCUUUGUCCAGUUUCUUAAGAGAAACGGUCCGUAUAAAAAGGUAUCAAUGAAUUAAGGACAGAUGAUACAAACAAUUUUUUCUGGCGGAGACUUA
Saccostrea cuccullata (small rock oyster) is the source of this 559-nucleotide long non-coding RNA. RefSeq lists it as uncharacterized. The transcript is spliced from 5 exons. The record is from RefSeq and is a predicted model, not a curated record. Lineage: Eukaryota; Metazoa; Mollusca; Bivalvia; Ostreida; Ostreidae.